UACGUAGGGUGCGAGCGUUAAUCGGAAUUACUGGGCGUAAAGCGUGCGCAGGCGGUUCGUUGUGUCGGUGGUGAAAGCCCCGGGCUUAACCUGGGAAUGGCCAUGGAAACUGGCGAACUGGAGUGUGGAAGAGGCGAGUGGAAUUCCUGGUGUAGCGGUGGAAUGCGCAGAUAUCAGGAGGAACACCGAUGGCGAAGGCAGGUCUCUGGGCAUUAACUGACGCUGAGGAGCGAAAGCAUGGGGAGCGAACAGG
RNAcentral lists this ribosomal RNA (253 nucleotides) under uncultured bacterium. Its description in RNAcentral is "partial 16S ribosomal RNA". It matches the Rfam family "Bacterial small subunit ribosomal RNA", at positions 524 to 776 of the family's 1533-position model. The record is from RNAcentral.